GAAAUAAAUUAUUUAAAAUUAAGCUUCUAACUUAAAUUUUUAAUAGUGAAAUUCUAUUAUUAUUUCU
Molecule: transfer RNA, 67 nt
Filed under: Ptiliidae sp. BMNH 1274724
Lineage: Eukaryota; Metazoa; Arthropoda; Insecta; Coleoptera; Ptiliidae
Also listed under: 1 other name
Description: tRNA-Ser
Source: RNAcentral